GGAAGAUAUUAUCCCUUCUUCCUUCAUCUUCAUCUUCCUCCUCCUCUCCUAUUUAAGAUAGCCUUUUUUUAAUCUUCAUCCUCAUCUUCCUCUUUCAUAAUCAUCUUCAUCUUCUGUUUUUUUUUAUUGUUCACCAAUGACAACUUUUAAAGUGUUAGUAGAAGACAAAGAAGACACUAGAAAAUUUUGUUUCCAUCAUUGGCUUAUCAGUAACAAGGGUGGUUGCUAAUGUAGGCGCUACUGAUAAGCCAGCGAUGAGAAUAAAAUUGUCUAAAAUGAUAAAUUUCAUGGGGUCGCUCAGGAUUGUAGUAUGAAGAAAUGUGGUUGGCUACUUAUAAUGAAGUCGCGUGAAAUUUAUUGAAUCUAGAUGAUUGAUUUUUCUUUCUCAACAAAAGUUAUUGUUGACUGAACGAGUGAGACCAUGGUAAAAUGAAUAUUGGGUAAAUAAAAAAAUAUAGAAAAUGUAUAUUUUUAUAAAAAUACAUAAAUUUAUAUAGAAAAAUGGAAAAGGGUAGACCUCUUCCUGCAAGUAGCGAGUACCUUGGUUUGGCAAGAUUCCAUUACUGUGUGUUUGACAAAAAGGAAAGUGGAAAGAAAAAAGCUUGGUAACCAAGCCUGAGCGAGAGUCUUGUAGAUGGUGGAGAAGAUAUGUGGGAGAGAUUGUUUUUUUCUACUUCAUCAAAACAUUAUAGAGUUUUUC
This 700-nucleotide long non-coding RNA is filed under the name Eutrema salsugineum. RNAcentral's name for it is "long non-coding RNA (ESAL_LNC000661)". The record is from RNAcentral. Lineage: Eukaryota; Viridiplantae; Streptophyta; Magnoliopsida; Brassicales; Brassicaceae.